This 235-nucleotide long non-coding RNA is filed under the name Lathyrus oleraceus (garden pea). RNAcentral describes it as "Pisum sativum (pea) long non-coding RNA (PSAT_LNC003251)". The record is from RNAcentral. Lineage: Eukaryota; Viridiplantae; Streptophyta; Magnoliopsida; Fabales; Fabaceae.
GCAGAAGAGGUUUAGGGGAUGUAGUCAGACAUACAUAAUAGUGCAUUAAUAUAUAGUAGUAGUACUAUGGACUGUAUUUUAUUUUAACAUCAUGUUAAUUUAUCGUUGUUCUCAAUUUUUUUGACAUAUAUUGGUCUUUUAUUUAUAUAUGACACUUUUGGACCAUCUUGACUUGUGUACGUCAUUUUUUGCAUAUCGCUUGUAUGGUUUAAAUAUUCAUAGAGCAAACAUAAAC